This is an RNA transcript of Panthera uncia (snow leopard), 26795 nucleotides long. It is a transcript of the gene named X-ray repair cross complementing 4, with no coding region annotated. The transcript is spliced from 10 exons. The record is from RefSeq and is a predicted model, not a curated record. NCBI's taxonomy places the organism in Eukaryota, Metazoa, Chordata, Mammalia, Carnivora, Felidae.
GGACGACACUCUCAUUGGCUGCGGGUCGUCAGUCUGUAGGGGCGGGCCUUUUGGAGGAGACCGGAAGUGGAGCGAAUGAGAGGUGACCAGAAAUGGAAAGAAAAGUAAGCAGAAUUUGUUUUGCUUCUGAACCAGAUAUAAUUCAUUUUCUACAAAUUGCUUGGGAGAGAACGCUAGCAUCUGGUUUUGUUAUUACACUUACUGAUGGUCAGUCAGCAUGGACCGGAACAGUUUCCGAAUCAGAGAUUUCUCAAGAAGCUGAUGACAUGGCAAUGGAAAAAGAGAAAUAUGUUGAUGAACUGAGGAAAGUAUUGAUAUCAGGAGGAGGACCAGCUGAUGCGUACAAGUUUGAUUUUUCUAAAGAGUCUUGUCAUUUCUCCUUUGAGAAAAACCUGAAAGAUGUUUCAUUUAGACUUGGUUCCUUCAAUCUAGAGAAAGUUGCAAGUCCAGCUGAGGUCAUUAGGAAACUUAUUUGUGAUUGCCUGGACACCAUUGCGGAAAACCAAGCCAAAAAUGAGCACCUGCAGAAGGAAAAUGAAAGGCUUCUGAGAGAUUGGAAUGAUAUUCAAGGACGAUUUGAAAAAUGUGUGAGUGCUAAGGAAGCUUUGGAGACUGAUCUUUAUAAGCGGUUUAUUCUAGUGCUGAAUGAGAAGAAAGCAAAGAUCAGAAGCUUGCAUAAAUUGUUAAAUGAAGGUCAAGAACCAGAAAGGAACAUUGAGCGUGAAAGGGAAGCCACAACAUGUUCUGAAAUGACCGCUGAUAGAGAUGCAGUCUACGAUGAAAGUACUGAUGAAGAAAGUGAGAACCUGCCUGAUCCCUGUGUGUUAGCUCCAGCUACUUCUAGAGAUGAUUCCAUCAUUUCAAGUCCUGAUGUCACUGAUAUUGCACCAAGUAGAAAGAGGAGGCAGCGGAUGCAAAAAAAUCUUGGAACAGAACCUAAAAUGGCUUCUCAGGUGACUCAGCCUCAAGAAAAGGAAAAACCACCUCCGAGGCAGAUGUCACCUCAUAUUUACAGGCUUGAUCCUCCACAACCUGAGAAGUUGAAAAAGGAGCACAGCUCAACUGAAAACAUGUCUUUAGAAACUCUAAGAAACAGUAGUUCAGAAGACCUCUUUGAUGAGAUUUAACUGUCUCAAAAGGUACUUUGAUGUUCACUAGACUAUGUUUUCUAUUCAUUUUUUUAAACUAAGAAAGCAAGAUUUCAACUCAGCAGCAGCUAUUACUGUACCCUACAAUUUAAUUACAUACACACUGAAUCGAAACCAUUGUGCAAAAUGGAUUAUGCAUGUAUAUGAAGAUAUGAUUUGAUGACAGUGGUACAUUAUUCUAAACUAUUCAUUCCCAUGCCUAUAAUUACAUAAAAUCUCAGACUUUGUAUUGCAAAGGACACAUUUAUCAUAUUCAGUUCACACAUAUUAUAUGUGGUAGCUGUCUAACAUCCUGUCUAGGAAGAUUUUGGAAAAAGGACAAAGAAAAUGUCUACAGUUCUUUUUUGAAUAGUCAUGUUCUGAACAAUGAUGCUUGAACAUUUUAAUUUGUGAAAUGAUGUAUAAAAUUUAUUUUUAGUUCAUACACAAGCAACCUCAAAAUCUGAUGAUAAAAUUUUUGAUACAUUGAGGAUUUAUGUUCCUAAUAAAAUAUGUUAUUUAGCUUACCUUUUUCCUUUAUUAUAGUAGCAGACUUUAUAAGGUGCUUAUUGAUAUAAAUGUAACCCCUUUUUGUAUCAAAAACAUGUUUUUUCAGGAACCCUCUUGCACUGUUGGUGGGAAUGCAAACUGGUGCAGCCUCUCUGGAAAACAGUGUGGAGGUUCCUCAAAAAAUUAAAAAUAGAUCUAACCUAUGACCCAGCAGUAGCACCGCUAGGAAUUUACCCAAGGGACACAGGAGUGCUGUGGGUACAAGUGCAUAGGGGCACUUGUACCCCAGUGUUUAUAGCAGCACUUUUAACAGUAGCCAAAUUAUGGAAAGAGCCUAAAUGUCCAUUGACUGAUGAAUGGAUAAAGAAGUUGUGGUUUAUAUAUACAAUGGAAUACUACUUGGCAAUGAGAAAGAAUGAAAUAUGGCCUUUUUGUAGCAAUGUGGGUGGAACUGGAGAGUAUUAUGCUAAGCGAAAUAAGCCAUACAGAGAAAGACAGAUACUAUAUCUUUUCAUUAUUAUGUGGAUCCUGAGAAACUUAACAGAAGACCAUGGGGGAAGGAAAGGGGGAAAAAAAAGUUAGGGAGGGAGGAAAACCAUAAGAGACUCUUAAAAACUGAGAACAAACUGAGGGUUGAUGGGGGGUGGGGGAGAGGGGAAAGUGGGUGAUAGACAUUGAGGAGGGCACCUAUUGGGAUGAGCACUGGGUGUUGUAUGGAAACCAAUUUGACAAUAAAUUUCAUAUUUAAAAAAAACAUGUUCUUUUCAGAGAUUGUUGAUAAAAGACUUCUUACACAUUAAGGACCCUCUUUGAAAAUAAUGACCAUGUCAUAUUUACUUAUCAAUCCUCAAUAACAUCUAGCACAAUUUUUUAAAAACAUAGUUACUGUUUCUACCUCCUACCCUCUCAUUCUGUCUUCACUUCUCUCCAGUUGAACAUCCCUUUUCUCCAUGGUUUCAAAGUUAACAGCGACCAUCAUGUUGAUAAAUCAACAGUUGGUCCAUUCUCAGUCCUCCUCUUACUAAGCCUCUCAGCUACACACCUGACAUAGUCGGUCACUUCUCAGUAAACAUUUUCUUCACUUGACUUUUGCAUUAACAUAUGUUGUUUGUUUUCUCUUCCUUUUUGUACACGGAGGCUCUUUGGCCCAGAGUUAAGUGUUUUAGUGCCUCAGGUUUAUUCUUCAGCCUUCUUCUUUUCACUACCUACCUUGUCUAUCUAGUAUUUCUGUGAUUUUAAAUACCAUUUGCAUGCUAAUAUCUCCAAAAUUAGAAUAGUUCUGUUUCCACAGUCAUAUAUGUGUAGAGUCAGUUGACCUUUGAACAGUGCUAGGGUUGGGGAACUGGUGCCCUUUGUAGUCAAAAAUCUUCGUAUAAUUUUUGACUCUCCAAGAACUUAACGACUAAGAGACUCCUAUUGACUAGAAGGCUUACUGAAAAUAUAAAUAGUCAAUACUUAUUUUGCAUUUAUAUGUAUUAUAUAUUUUAUUCUCACAAUAAAGUAAGCGAGUGAAAAGAAAAUGUUACUAAGAAAUCAUAGGGAAGAGACAAUACAUUUAUAGUACUGUACGAUAAAAAAUGUGUGUAUAAGUGGACCUGCAUGGUUCACACACCUGUUGUUCAAGGGUCAGCUGUAUAAUUUAUCAUUAAUUUUUUGCAAAAGGAGGUUCUUAAAAAUCUGAGUACAUCUACCUGCUUUGGAUGAUUAUUUGGAUGUUUAAGCACAUCUAAAGCAGAGGUCUGAUUACAUCCCGAUCAUCUUUUUUCUCCAUUCUUCCCCACCCAACAAAUUACUGUGACACCUGGUUGCUUCAAGCUGAAAACCCAGGAAUCCUGAUCAGUACCUUUGUUUCGCUCUUCUCCCACAUCCUGUUAUUUUUACCUCCAAAAAUACAGCUUGAUUCUAUCUACUUCUCUCUUACUAUCUACUACAUCUGCCCCCUGACUGGUCUCCCUGCCAAUCUCCUAUUGUACAGUGCACACAAACUGAAUUUUUUAAGUUUUAGGAAAGAGCAUUUCCCUGCCUGGAUUGAAACCCUCCAAUAGUAAGCCACUGCUCUUUGGAUAAAGUUCACACUCCGUACCCCAGCUUACAAGAUUUGAUAUGAUCUGGCCCCUACCUAUCUCUACCCUUGGUUUCCUGCUCUUUUCUCUUUGCUUGCCUUGCUCCUUACUGUCCCUCAAGUAGGUCAGAUCUCAGAACCAUUGUAUUGGUCAGAAUGUUCAUCUUCAUAUGGUUAGUUUCUUCUCAUCUUUCAGGUCUAGAAUCAAAUGUCACCUCCUCAGAGGUCCUUUCCCUGAAAUGCCUUUCUAAAGAUGUGCAUACUCCCAGUCACUGUCCCAUUGGAAUAUUUUUUCACUGUGCAUAUCACCACACAGAAUUAUUUUUUUCAUCUCUCUCUCUCUGUCUGCCUGUCUCCCAAUAGAAAGUUAGCCCCAUCAUAGCAGAGGCAUGGCCAUCUGUUUUAUCUAUCUUCCAGUUCGUACAACAGGGCUAGAUUCACAAAGGCUUACUAAGCAUUUGUUGAAUGAAUAAAUGCAUGUCUUCCACAAAACAGACACUCAAAUGUUUCUUUAAGUUAUUAAACUGUUUUGAAAGAAACUUAGGAAAAGGUUGAAACUUAGUUGAUUUGACACAGAGAAAUAAUUGUUUAGAAAGCUUCAAGUACCUUUUGUGCUUAAUUAUAAAUAAUAUAUACAUAUAUAUUUUGCGUGUAGGCUUGACUACAGAGAGAGAAUCAGAAAGAAAUUACACUUUAUUGUUUAUAUCAGAACAAGAUUCUAUUCAGUCAAUGGAACAACAAAAUACUUUAAAAAGAAAUUUACCACAUUUUUAUUUCCAUAGUGGCAUCCAUUUAAGAAGGAAAACUUUAAAAUAAAUGUAGAUAUAAAUAUGUGAAAUAUGAAAAUAUAGGGGUGCCUGAGAGGCUCAGUCACUUGAGCAGCCAACUCUUGAUUUCAGCUCAGGUCUCAAUCCCAGGGUAGUGGGAUCAAGCCCCACAUCGGGCUUUAUGCUCAGUGUAGAACCGGCUUAAGAUUCAUAUUCUCUCUCUCUCCCACUCCCACACCCUGCCUCCCUCCCUCCUUCCCCCUCUUCCCUUCAGCCUCUCUCCCCUACUCAUGCUCUCUCUCUCUCUCAAAUUCAAUAAAUAAAUACACACAUACAUGCAAUAAACAUAUAAUUAUAAAGUCUAAAAUUCUGCUCAGUUACAUAGAAACUUCACUAUACUAUGAAUCUCAGAUAAUCUAAGAUUUGCCUUGGACCUUUCCAAGGGGAUUUUGUACAUAAAGUACUAGAAUCUCAAAAUAAUGUUAUCUCUUCUGAAUAACCAAAAUUAAUCUACAAUUAUUGUGUGUGUGUAUACUUACAUAUAAAGGUUUUUUUUAAGUGAAAGAGAAGAAGAAAAACAGAAUUUUGGCUAUUAACCCACUAGUGGUGAGAGAGGGAUGAUGUCCAGAAAAUGUUUCCUAAGUAAUUGUAACAGCAGAAUCUAUAAAGCUCAUAUUUACAAGAUUUUGAUUAUAUUUUUCCAGAGCAGUGUAUCUUUUCCACCAUUGUUUUGUGUCAGAUUGAUUCAGCUGGUUAGAACAAAGCAUAAGUAGUACAUAGUUAUGGUUCCCUCUUUUAUAUUGAGCAUGGAGAAUUUGAAGGGCUAGUUUUACAUUUUCUGCUCCGCGUAGACAGAUAUCUAUAGAUUUGGUAUCAAGAUGUGCAGCUCUAGUCAUUCUAUGCCAUGAUUUUUCCUCACAUUUUUCCAUUGUUUAUAUUCAAAAACAGAUUGUUACAGAAAAACUCUGAAAUUGAAGGCACAAGAAUUAAGUUAUAAUGCAGCAUGAAUUUUGUUUGGUUUUUUACUUUUUUGACCUUUGUUAUAAAACAAGGUGACAAUUUUUUUUUUCAGCUUAAAAUUUAUAAUUCUUGGCCCUGGGAUCAGAUGGUAUGACUUAGGCCUCAGUAGGGAAGUUCAUGGAAGAAAAAGUCCCAUCUCAGGAAGAGAUGUCUUUAUUAUGUAGUUUUAAAAGGUCAGGAAACUACUUUAGACAAGUUUUUCUUAAUGGCAUAUAACUCAAAUUUAUAAAAUACUAGACCCUGUGUUUUGGAGCCAAACAGCUGUUUAUUGGGUAAAUUUGACUCAAUAAAUGUUUAUAAAGGAUCCGUUAUGCACAAAAAAAAAAAAAAAAAAAAAAAAAAAAAAAAAAAAAAAAAAAAAAAACAGAACUGGGCCAUGUGGAGAAUUUACAGAUAAUUCCAUCCAUUCACCAAAUAUCUGUUAAGCAUUUGUGUCAGUCUCUGUUUUGGGCACUAGAUGCAGCAGUGAAUAAUAUGUGUGGUUUGUUGCUGUGGAACUUAUAUUCUAGUAAGUGAAAUUUGGGCCUGCUCUCAAAGAGUGAAGUAUAUGGAAGGGAGUUGACAUUGGGGCCCAAAAUCAGUAUCUGAUAAACUAUCAUAUCAAGGAGUGGUAGCGUAAGUGUCAUAAAGAAAAGAACAAAAAGUUUAUGGGUGAAGAUCCACAGAAAAUUUAAAAAAAAAUCCUAUUGGGAGGCUAAGAGAAAUCAGUAGGGUUGAGGAACGUAUGCUGUGAAUGAAACUGUAUGCCGGAUCAGAGGAGAGUGCAGAAGGUCCUGGGGGUAGGGGCUUGGGGUUACUGUUCAAGUUUGUAAUUGUGAAUCAUCAGAAUGAAGGAAACAAGUUAGAAGGCUUUCCAGGAGGAAUGUUGGCCAGGUGGAUUUAGAAUAUGAAGCUAAGUUUUGUAAUAAAGAUAUAACAAGAAUUGAGCUCCACAUUUCAGACUGGCACUUCCACGGGAAGAUAUAUACUGCCAGAAAUCUUCAGGUCGUGGGGCCCUUCUUGGACAUCUGGGAUUGAGAAAGGAGAACGAGUCAGUGGGUCCCUUGUCAUAUACUUUGCAGAAGCAGCCAACCCUCAUCCCUUUGUGUCUCUCAGUCUUACACUUAGUAUAAUUUAUAGAAUCCAUUUUUAAUAAAAUAAAAUUAAAUAGGUGACCUCGAAAUUCAUGAAAGACCUCAUGAAUUUACCUAUACAUCAGCAAAUUAAAAAAAAAAUAAGUAGUUAACACAUUUGGUAAGGGAGAAUGAUAGUCACUAUUUAUCCAUUUCUACCUAUUGUUUGAAUUAAAAAUUUUCACUGGUGUUCUGAAAACUCCUGGUGAAUGCUUUUCAGGAGGGCAGAUUUCAUUUGCAAGUGUUCUGUGAGCAAGCCUGCUGUGAUUUUCUCCAUAUAUUAAUAACUGGGAAAGGAUACUUUGACACAUACAUGCCAAGAACUUCAUGGUUGCUUCCUAACUGACCAUCCGUCUCCUGUCCUAAUUUCCACCUCUCUGAUCUACUCACCCAAAAACACACUCACCAGUGUACUUUGUACUUACUUUCUUCCUUUCAGUUAUCCACAUGUCAUGUUAUUCACCAACUGUUAUUACUACUUUCUGAUUUUCCUCUGUAAUAUGAAUUUUGUUGUUUAUAUGUUGAUUUUUCUUCCAUCUUUUGGAGGUCCUUUGUCCUAAACUCUCAUCUCAAAAUCUCACAGAGAACUGUAUUUUCUCAGUGAGGGUCUCUUUGUCCCUAAAAGUUCUUGAUUCUUCAGGAAAGGAGAGAGUGAUUGGAGCCUACACCUAUCUUGAUAGUGGAUGGUCUUAUCAAGGGCAGGAGCAAUUUUUGUGGCUACUGUUCCAGUAAGUGGAAUAUAGGCUAGACCUGAACUACUUACUUUUGGUUUAAAGACAGUCUCCAGCUUAAUUACAAUCUUAGAAAUAACACAGCCAGUCAACUAUAUGUAGGUGGAUUAGAUAAUUUUUUUGGAACCUGCUCAUACAAGACCCUUCUAGGAAUCUGUCAUACUCUGCAUUCCUCUGAAGGGCUUGCAUACAAGCAAUUUAUUUGGGAAUAUGGUGCUAGGGAGCAAGAGUGCUAGACUGGAAGCACUUAGAAGGAAAGGAGGAAAAACGAGUGCAAGGAUGCCUUAUCAAGGCAGCCCGCCCUGUGGGUGAUAUGCUCCACCCUACCAGGAUGUUCUGAGGUACCUUCUGAAAGUCAUCUCAGAACAAUACAUCUGGGGACAAAAGGGAGAAGCAUUUAUCCAUGGGUUGCUGUUUCCAUUGGUCAAGAGUGGCCUGGAAGCAUUGUUCCCACAUAUCUCACUUCGCCCCUGUUUAGUACGUAGCGGGGUCCCUGCAGGUGACCAAAGCUGCAGUCUCAGAGAAGCCCUGGACAGGAAACAAGAGGAGCACAGGUACCAAUUUUACGUGCUUGAAGUAGAGCAAAGCCUGCCUGGAACUGAUUGCCAAAGAAAUGGCUACUGUUGAGGAUUUUGAGGUGGUAUACAAGGGAUGUCCAAUAUAGAAUCCAUGUUUUAUGCACAUGCCCCUGCCUCACGUCCCCACCCUAGCCAUAGCUGAUUAGGCCAGGGAAAGAAAUGUGACUCUCACUGCGUGGCUGAACUUGAGUUCCCUGAAAAAGCCAAUGUGUAAGUUGGCACAGAGACUGACUGGAAGAAAGAGAAGGCUGCAGAGCACAAUGGAGCAGAGGUGCCCUGUGACCCUUGAGACUGAUUGGGAGAGUAGCCAGUGCCUGGAGUAGAUGCGGGUCAUUCUGUAGUUCAGAGCCUGUUUCAGUGCAGACAUAUGUCUAAACUUCACUGCUCCCUUUUCUGAGGACUUACCAGUGAAAUGGUUCCAUAAAGCAAAGAAGAAAGUACCCAAUUAAUAAGGAAAUCAAAUAUAUUCUCCAUUGGACAUUUUAAUCAAUUUUUACUAUCUUCAGUUAACAAGUUGUCACUAGUUAACUCUACCACUAAUAGAACAUUUCAGGAGAGGUUUCAUCUAGAUUGGUAUAGGCAAACUUGAAUAAGAGGGGAAAGUAAAACCACUUUUAUAAUUAAAAUUUACAUAAUUUUUAUAAUAAAACUUUAAAAUUCAUUAAAAUGCCAUUAUAUAUAGCUAAGAUCUUACCUACAUUAGAUGUGUCUUUAAAGUAUUGAUGGAUCUGAAUGGUAGUAUGAAAUGUCUAUGAUCUUUGGCAACAUAGGAUAGUACUAUAAAUUUUACUUAGGAAUGAAUUUUAAGUGUAAGGUGUCACAAAGUUGCCAUCAUUGGUAGAUUAAUACCUAUGCUAAUCCUUUAAAGAAUACAAAGCAAUAUAUUUUUUCUUGAUUUUACCAAAUAGUAAAAGGAACUCUAUCAAAUUGUAGUGUUUUUAUGUGAUGACAAGGGUUCCCUCUCUCUCUCUCUCUCUGCUCUCUCAAUUAUGAUCUGAUUGAAAACUUUGUGAGAGGGGUACCUGGGUGGCUCAGUUGGUUAAGUGUCCCACUUUUUGUCUCAGCUCAGGUCAUGAUCUCACAGUUCGUGAGUUCAAGCCCAACAUGGGGCUCUGUGCUGACAGCGUGGAACCUGCUUGGAAUUGUCUCUCCCUCUCUUUCUGCCCCUACCCCACUUGUGCUCGCUCUCUCUUUCUCUCUCUCUCUCUCAAAAUAAUACAUAAACUUAAAAAAAAAAACCUUACAAAAAGAAAGAAAGAAGACUUUGUGAAACUUUUGGAUCCCUAUUAGGACAAGAUGCUGGUAGUGAUGAUGGGAGAAAUAUGCUUUGUCAUUGUGCUUUGCAAACAUUUAGGGAGUUUAUCUGAAAUAUUCCAGAGCCCCUGUUGAGUAAUAUUGGAAACAAUCUUGCUUUGCUCCUUUGAGAGAUAUAAUAUAGUAUAUUUCUCUCAAGAACUAUGUUUACAGAGAAGUAAUUACAUUACUAUGGAAGAUUAAAUUAUUGUCAGUAAAUACUCUCCACUAUCACUGCUCCAUUGACUUGCUUUGGACUAUAAAAUGUGGAUGAAAUAAAAAUAUUCCACUUUUUGUGCCCAGAAGUUAAGAAGCAUUAUGUGUUUCUGCUUUUUCUUCUGGGAGCUUCUGAUCUCUGCUGUGAGAAGGAACAUGCCCCAGGUAGCUGCAGCCCGUGGUGCCUGGGCCUCUGAUGAGAUCAUGGAGCAGAAAUGAACUCAGUCCUAAACUGGAGUCGAGCUCACUACCCUGAAACCUUCAGAAGAGCGAUCCAUCUGAGCCCAAUCCAGAUAGACUGAGCUACAGUCAACCAUGCUGACCAUGAGCGUGAGAACAAUUGCUUACUACUCACAGCCACUAAGAUUUGCUGUAGUUUGUUAUAUAACGGUAUUUUGACAAUAGCUAACCAGUAUAGUUACUCAUAUAGAAUAAAAUACAGUGACAACUUUACAUUUGUAGUAGCUGUUAAUAUGUACAUGGCAUAAAAAUCUGGUGUCUUCUAGCUGGAAUUUGAUAAUAGAAUAAGUAGGAAUUACAAGUGUGGAUUUGGGGACGAGAGUAAGCCAAGUUUCUACACUGUCAGCUGUUAACUAUCUCACUCUGGGCAACAAACUUAUUUUCUCUGAACUUGUGUUUUCUCAUCCAUGCAAUGGGAGUUAAAUAAGAUAAUGCAGAUAAAGCACUUAACACAAUGUCUGCUACACAGUAAGUAGAGCAUGUAUAGAAGCCCUUACCACGAGUGUUACUGCUGCACUAUCAAAUCAGCAUACAGUGGAUCAGCACGUGGUUCUGUAAAGCCAGAUGAUCAGCUGCAUUGACCCUCUCCCUGAGAUUUAUUAGCUCAAGCUCCCUAUCCUUACUCCUUUCUAAAGUCUCGCACUUUUCCCGAGACUUAUACGAAUUCUUGUGCAAUUUAUUUUUGUGGCCAUUUCUGCUCUGAAUUCCUGCUUCCACUGGGCUCUGAGUCUCACUUAUGUUUUAUAAUAAAACUGAUUUUCUUCUUUCUCUGCUCCAUGCUAAGUCAGCCAUGAAACUUCCCUCCUUUCCUCUGAAUUCCGUGACAAAAGCACUGAGAAAUGUCUGUGUGUAGCAGAAUUUGUGGAAGGUUUGGAUCAGAGAGAGGUAGUUUACCUCAAAGAAAAUGAGCGAUUUAUAUUCCAUUUUUGCCAUAACUCUAUUCUUUAAAGCCUUCUGGCUUUCCUACUGUAUGAACUUUCCACUGGCAACUUGUCACCUUAAGAGUCCAGUUUCCUGCUAUGUCGUCCAUCCCUUUGCUCUCAUCUCCCUCUUUCCUCCGCUCUCAGCUUUCCCCCAAUUGCUGUUAUUUUCUCAUAAAGAACUGUUUCUCUGUCUCUUUAUUCUGAUCAUCCCAUGUAUUUACCAGUAGUCAUGCAACGUAUCUCCAUGUAACAUUUUCCCUAGUGUUAAAAUAAUGCAUUUAUAAAUGGCGGUGUCUAUCCCUCACCAUUUAUGCAAUGUCAUGUUAAAAAGAUGGCAUGACUUCUAAGCAAAGCAAGAUCUAAUUGAAUGUAUUGAUUUAUCUAAAGAAAUGAUAAUGACUAUCAGGGGAGGCACAUUUGCCACCAAAGUAUAAAAAAUGACGAACUUCAGAGGAAAACAUUGUGUGUCUGUCUAAACAUUGGAAGAUAGUCCAAAUGCUACCUAGGGAAAAGAAAAAUCUAUCCCAGAGCUUUAAAUAUGUUUAUGUAUUCACCCAUCCAUUUAUUUAUUCAUAAUUUCCCUCAAAUGAUGAAAUUGCCACUCUUUAUGGGCCACAAUUGGUUGACUUUUAUAUGAUUUGGAAUCUCAAAGUGUAGUUACUUCUGACUUGGAGAUAGAUUUUCAGACUCAAUAAUAUGUCAUCCAAAGUCUAUGCUUCUUUAACAAGAAUUUUUCUGCAAGAAUUAUGACAUUUGAGGAAGGUGAGAGAGGAAAGAAACUAUAUAAUAAAACAAAUCCUAGUAUUUUCUUGAGGAAUUCUAUAUAAAAUAAUGCCGUUCCUGAAGAGCAUUUUUAUCUUUGAUUUUUCCAUUGUAGCCCUAAUCUGUCAUAUAUGAUAUCAGUAACUUUCAUAAUUGCCUACAUUUGGCAAAUGUUACAAGUUUUUCAGUGAUAAUAACUCAGUGUGUGUUUCACUGUCACUGUCCUUUGUGUCAGUAAUCAUUCAUCUCAAGAAUUUGAAAUUCAGGCUGUGUGCAAGGACACCAGAAUCUGCCCUGUGCCCUUGAGCUUACGCACAAUUCUCAACUAUGUUUAGAAGAACACAAGUCCACAUGUGUAUGUGUUUAUUCAGUCAUCGCGUGUUUGGUGAACACUUUGUGCCAAGCACUCUGCCAGGCACUGGAGAUAUAAAGAUGAGUAACACCAUCUUGUCUCAUAGUGCCUGGAAGUCUAGACUAAGGAAGGAGGCAGACCUGUACACAAUCAAAUGUUUGGUAAGUGCUCUAAGAGGGCACAAAGGAGAAUCAGCCUGCUCUGACUUUAUUGGGAGAGUAUAGGAAGAAGAGGUUAUGGCCAAGGGAAACCCCAGAGAGGAGAUGGAUGAAGUUUGAGCUGAACUUCUGGGAUGAUUGAGGAUUUGCCAGGUGGCUGAGAUGCACUUUAGGGAAAUGGGCGAGUGUGGCAUCUUCAGUGUCUUGUGGCUGGAGCAAAGGGAGGGGAAAAAGAUGCAGUGAGAGCCUGAGAAGACAGUGUAGGCUCCCCACUGAUUAUGUGAAUGAACAACUAUAGAAUGAUCUUAAGAGAAGAAAGGGAGUGACCUGAUUCAGUUUGUGCUUUUGAAAGGGCAAUCCGAAGGCCAUCUAAGGGCACAACCACAUGCACCCAGACGUCUCCCACUUCUUUGCAGGUUGUGUAACUCUCUGAUGCUGUUCCCAGCCUGUCUGGAAAACUGUCAAACUCUGCUUCAGACCAAGCAGUAUCCACUGAUUAAACCUUGCCAACAGUCUUUGCAAGUUGAGAGACUCCUGAUGGUAGAGUGACACAACCGGCCCACAGCAGAAAGACCCCUUUUUAGUGCCCAGGCCUUGGGCUUUGAUACAAGCAGGGGUGGUUUCAUCAUUUCCUUUAAGAGUGAUCUCAGGGUUUUUUAACCUUUUGUGGAAUUGGCUUUCUUCCUUGAACAUUCCCAGCCCUGCUUUGACAUUCCCAUAUCCUGCAGAAUGCUGCUUAUAUACACCUUUAGGGGAAUUGCUGUUGCUGUCCUCUUUAAUUCACUUCUGACACCUCUUUCUGGAGGCCAUAGGUACGACUGUGCUGUUGGAAGCAAUAUCCACAUUUCUUUCCUAAAGCUUCAAUACUUUAUGCAAAGGUACCCAUUCUGGAUCCAGAACUUGUACAGGAAGGAGGGAGUAGAGUUCAAUACACUGGUGCCAUUCAAUGGAUGUUAAAUAACAUAAAGCAUCAUGAAAGACGGGCUUCCAAUCCUGAAAGGAGACAUUGUGAACUAACCUUUUCUUCCCUCGGAUUUUGAUCCCAGAACAAUUAAAAGGUAUAGAGUAUCCUUUUCCUCAAAACAAAGUGGCAGAAAUCACACUUUUUAAAAAAUCAAAUUACAUUUUGUUUUCAAGUUUCAACAGAAAACUUGAGACUGUAUUUUCCACUGUCUUUCUAGUAGACACACACAUUGUUGGCCACUAUUUCUCCACAGAUUUCAGUGGGCAAGUGCAUGAGGAGGCACUUUUUCCACCCUACUGAUGAUUUUUGCAGUGACCGAACUUUAUGAAAAUAUUUUACAAAAUCUCCAUGAGUCAAUCUUCCAGUGCACUUGAAAAUAAUUAGGCUUGCUAUCACUUGCCUUCCUCUCCUUAUCAGAGAAGCAUUUGCAACCAGGCAUUCUGUGAAUGUGGCUAAAUCGUAUCAUAGAAUCACUGAGAAUAUCUUCAAUAUUAAAGUAAUCACCAUUGUCCCUGGAGCCCUGACACGGGUGCCAGCAUCCCCACUCAGGAUCCUCUAUCAGUCCUGCCUAGUAGCACAACCCGGCAGCCUCUCUUGAUGAAGCAAUGUGAGGUUUAGUCCUUAUUUUAUUCCAUUUAAUUAAAGAACAGCUGAAAAAAUCCUGUCUUGCAUUUUCAACACAUGGUUCCAAUUAGUGCAGCAGAGCAGGACCCUGAAUUUGAUAAAAGCACUGACGUGUACCUUUGGUGCCUGUACAAUGUACUCUUUCAUUUUACAAGGUGGCUGAAGUGCAGUUUUAAAUAUCUUUUUUAAAUGUUGACAAAAACCCAGGGGUGUAAGCUUAGGAAAAAAGUGAGGAGAAGUGAACACAAUUUUGUUUGAAUUGCCUGCCAUAGACUUUUAGAACCUUGUAUGCAGAAGACGCUUAUGUGGGAAAAUCUGCAGUGGGCAUUUACAAGCUUGUAUGCAAAAAGCAUUAUGGUUCAUGAGACUUGCGCUCGGAGGCUAUUAGAUGGGAGAUCCAUCACCUCAGGAAAUACCACUUACUGUACUGUAAAUUUGCUCCAUGUGACCAAUCUGCUCGAGAGGUAAUGGAAAUCCCAUUCCAGUAAAUUUGUUUCAGACCAGGCUAAAACUGAUAGGACAUUUGCCUUCAGUGGGACUCUUUCUGGAUAACUUCUGGAAGUUCAUAUGUUUUUAAAUAGGAAAGUAAAACUUAGGUCCCAGAAUCUGGAAAUUAGAUGUGGAAAAGCCUAAUUUAGGUCAUCACAUCCCACCUCCUGCCAAAAUAAAGGGAACUAGCAAGAGGAAAAAGUAAGAUAAAACAAGUAAAAUAUUUUAUGACUGCUUCACAUGGUGUGUGUUCUGUGCCGUCCCAAAAACAGUGGAAUGAUUUUCCAUUUCAGGUCAUGGGAAAGCAUGAUGUCUUUAGUCCCAGAAGGGUGAGAUACUUAAACUGCUAUAAGGCCCUUCAUGAAGGUUAACAACAAACCUCUUUGUGCCUGGCUUUUAUUUUCAGAGCUACCAUUCCAUUCUUGGCCCAUAAUUCACAAACUAGAGAAAUGUGCCCAUCAAGAACAAACUCACUACUAGUUGUGCUCAGAAAUGUUACCCCAAAGUGCCAAGGACAUGGCUGCCAAAAAGAAUUAAUCCCAUACCUACCCCAUUCAUGAUGACCUCGGAAACAGGAGAAGCAAACGUUUCUUACUGUUAACCAGAAGCAUUUCCCCCAAAUGACUGCAAAUAGCACAAAUGUCUGUUCCAUUGAUAGAUAAUUCCAGUGACACUUUUUUUUUUUCAGCCAAGUAGAGAUAGCGUCACAGCAGGAUAAAGUGGGCUGGAGUCACUAACUUUGACGUUCCAAUCCUGGAUCUCCCACUGCCUAACUCUCUUCUCUCAAGCCAGCCACUUAACCUCUCUUUUGAAGUCAGCUUCCUCACAAAUGAGACCAGCUCACGUGUACUUCUUGUCUAAGCACCAGAUAAGGCAGAUAAUGUACAGAGGCAGUAGCCACAGCUUAAUCCACAGUGUAAAAGUGCUUUCCGGAAGGGCUUCUCCCCCACCCCAGGAUUUCUUAAAUUACUAAACUUCAUAUGCUGUCCACCAGUGUCAAAGGCGACAGCCAAAUAAAAGGCCCGUCCUUGUACUAAAGACCAGGCCUUUCCCUGAUUAUGGACUUAUUUUAAUCAUGAACCUUGAUAUACUUGUAGAAAAAGUUGACUUGUUUUUCUUCAUAUCUCCCUGUUGGUGGGUAUCGUUUAAUGGGAAAUUUUUCAGUUUUUUUUUAUUUGCUUUUAGUUGUAUUUUGCGUGUAUGUAUUUUUAGUUUUUUAGUUUUCUGAUUUUCCAGAUAUCUACAGAAGACUCGAAAUAUCCACCUUACUUUCCAGAGAAAUAGUUUUUAUAAAACAGAGAUGCCAUUUGUUAUCCAUAAAACAUGCUCUUUUUUUGACAUCUCCUGUAAUAUAGAGAAGACAUAUUCGUGUAUUUACUUGGGCUGAGAAGAGAUAGCAAAAUUUAGUCUUGGAUAUGUAUAGAUAACACUGUUAUCUAUUGCCUCCACCAUUACCAAAGAACUGGGUUCAGUUAGAAUAGGUAUUUGCUGAACAGUAAGGAAUACUAAGAGAUAUCUUGUGUGGGCAAAUUAGUUUGUGUACUUGACCCAAGCAGUUAGCACAGAGCAAAAGGGACCCAGUUUCCUGGAACCCUGUAUCAUAUAUUGUUGACUCCUGCUAGUUAUUUCUUCUAUGCAGACUCUCAUGAACUAAAAAAGCAAAUUGACUUCCAAAAGUUAACCUAUGCAUGAAUAAAAGCACAACAUACACAGAAUGUUUUAGUCCUUCUGAAUUCUUUGAUGUUCCAUCUCUAAUAAGGAACUAACUAGAUUAAAUUUAAAUUCUUCAGAUAUGAAGUAAAACGUAUUCAAUAUAUUUUACAACUUUUGAGACUGUAGAGAUAAAUGAUUAUUUUGCAAAGUGGUUUUUGAACCUUACCUUGAUUCUGAGGGUUCAAAGGAACAAAUUAUGGUUGAGAAGACUGAUAAGAACCAAUAUGUGUUGAAGAUUGAAAAGCCUCAGGGACAUUUUUUGUGUCUGAUUUGACCAAAUCUGUUGACCAUUUUAGCUUUUCAUCCAUCUCAUUAGAAAUAGUUUUCAACAGGGGCACCUGGGUGGCUCAGUCAGUUAAGCAUCCAACUUCAGCUCAGGUCAUGAUCUUGGGGUUUGUGGGUUCGAGCCUCGCAUCAGGCUAUGUGCUGACAGCUCAGAGCCUGGAGCCUGCUUCACAUUUCGUGUCUCCUCCUCUCUCUGCCCCUCCCAUGCUCAUGCUCUGUCUCUCAAUAAGAAACAAACAUUAAAAAGAAAUUAAAAAAAAUAGUUUUCAACAAAGAUAACCAUUAUGCAAAUUACAAGUGGUGUGUUAUGUGCGUGAUUAGGUUUUCCAUUUUUCUUUCUUUGAAGCUUUAAAAAAAUAUAUUUUGGUGGUUAUUAUAAUGGAAGUCCACUUUCGUACUGGAUUUCCUUCAUUUCUCUUUAACCGUGAUUAAAGAGCUGAAUCUCCACCAAGGGGGAAGUAGCAUUGGUGCUAAUCCCAACUUGGCAGAAUUAUUGGGUUCCACCCCAACAGUCACCAAAACAUUUGGGUUUAGUCAGAAUACCAAUUCAUCACUUCAUAAAACCAAAGCUCUUCUCCAUCCCACAGUAACCUGUUCAUAGACCAUAGGGAGAGUGAGAGAGAUGUGAAUAGACUCACUGAAUAAUAGGGCCUGGCCCUCUCAGACGUCAAAAGAGAUCUGAGAACCUUCCAUUUCUUAAGGCUCCUGGAGUAUUAAAACAAGAAGAGGAGAAGAGGAAAAAUGCCAGAACAGCAUAGAAAUAAAGUGUAGCACAUUUUAAGUGCUUAAAAUCAUGCUUUAAACACAUGAAAUAUAAAAUAACCUUUCUGGAAGACAAGAUCAAAUGGCCAGAUUUGAGGCUGUUUGUGAUUAUAACAGCCCUAGCUAAAUGGUUUUACUAAAGACACCUAGCUCCCAAUCAUCAUAGCUCCUGCUCAGGGGCUGAAUGGAAGUUCCAGGAUCAUUUAGCCUCAUUUGAUAGAUAUAGAUUAAAAAAACUGAGGCCAAAGAGUGCAAAUUAUGUGCUUUAGAGUGCAGUCAAUUAGUUGGUGAAAAAGCAGAUCUCUGUAUACUCUCUGUGCAAAUGGAAGGCACAGAGGAGGUCUUGAGUGGGCGAAAUGACUACUAGCAGUUGAUAAGGUGAUGAAUAUCAAAAGCAAUAUUGCAGGGAAAGUAAUUGUUGGGCAAAGCCACCAUAAAAUGGACUGAGUCAUGGCCAGAUGUGGCCAGAUGUGGCUAAUCAAGACUCCUGAUUGACAUUUCUGCAUGAUUUCGGUGAGGGCUGCAUUUAUGACACUACUUCAUAAGGCGAAAUUGGAGAUUCCUUAUUUCCAAUACCCUUAUUCUGUGGUUAGUUCUCUAGUUGGAAAUCUGUGUGAGAUCCUCACGGAGACGGGUGUUAACUUUUCCCAUUGAAUUUCUAAGCUAGGAAGCUGGGACUCUUAGGAGUCGAUUUUGACUCAGUCUUUUGUGAGACACUCUCAUCUUUGAGUCAUGCUUUAAUAAUUUGGAUCUCAGCAAUGACUUUAUUUAUCUUGGGGAAUUUUACUUUUCUGGACAACCAGAAUAAUUCCUCUCUUAGCUAUCAGAAGCAGACACUGGAAAAGCUGCUUUCUGUGUCGUUUUCAUACUGUUAGGAUUCUGGGCUCCUUAGUAACUUGGCCAACUGUCUUGAAUCAAAUGUUAGGCGAGUGCUAUUGGCUCUAUCUCCUCAUAGAUCAUUUCCAGCUGUUAGAACAACACAAAUAUGAAAUCUUCUGAUCCAGGAAAACUUGAAGUUUUCAUGAGAUCCCCAUACAAAGAUUAGAUGCAAUGAUUAAAAAGAAGUAUCAAUCCCCUGUGUUUGGAGGGUGAUGGGGUAUGGAUAACAUCACACUGUUAGUGGAAAUAUAAUUUGUUAGAAUCAUUCCAGUAGGCAAUUUGACAAUAUGUAUCAAAAGCCUCAAAAUGUAUAUAUUCUCCAAUUCAAGAUGGCAGACUGACCACAUGCAUUGGCCUCUCAUUACUUCCAAAACCAUAUUUACUGAAUUAAAAGUAUAGAAAUGUAGAAUAAAAUCUCCCUUAUACAUGUAUCUCUCAAGUUCAGUAAGGAAAAUGGAACCAAUUGGUUCAAUAGAGAGAGCUCAAUAUAGGCACCUAUUUAUGAAAGUGUAGGAACAUCUAAAAAGCCAGAUGGAUUUGCAACAUCAGGGGCUACUGCCUCCAGUGGACUGGAGGGACCAAAGAAAAAAAUUAGUAUUGCUAGAGCUCAAGGCCCUUCAUGGUGAGAGGUUGAACCAUGAGAACGGGGCUGCCUGGAGUCAGGAGGUGUUGGACAAAAAAGAAGAAACCACUUCUAGAGAUGCUAUGCUGCCAAGGGCAGAAAGAGAAGGGAGAAAUAUAUUGCCUUCUUCCUUCUUCUCUCUCCAAUAUCCUACCAGUGCUUCCCACUGGCUGAACCUCCAUGGAAGCCAGUUGGCAUGGAAAUGUCAUUUACAGGAGCUGGUCACUGCUCUGUGAUCAAGAACAGAGCAGGGAAAUGUUGAGUAAUGACUAAAAGUAAAAAAGCAACUGCCUGGAACAACAGACAAGAGAGAAUGGGAAGUGUGUAUGUCACUAAAGAUUGAGCUAUUUAAUAAAUUACUGGGAUACAAAAAGUAGAUGAGAGCCAUUAGAUAGAAGAAAAGGACAGAGCAAUUGCCAGCCUAGAAUACACUUUGACAGCUCUGUAAAGGAAGAAAGCUAAUCUGCCCUGUGGAACCCCUGACAUGCCUUGAGUAUAGAGUCAGCAGACACAACAGAGGGGAGAGUGAAAGAUGGAGCUAAACAGAGAGAGAUUCCUCAAAGGUCUGAGUGUAUCCAGAAUUCUUCAGUCAGCACCCUAUCUCCAACAUAUAUAAACACAGUAAGCAGGCAGUUGGCAUUAUACUCCCAGUCAAAAUAUAUGGUGACUCCUUUCUAAAGUAAUUGGGCAAACUGGGAAAAGAUAACAUUUCUACAUUUGCUGAUGCCUCAGAGGGAAGCCAUUAUCAUCUUGGCACUGUGCAGGCACUCAGCCUGGGAGCCAGUUACCACUCCCAUUGAUCCUCAAAGUUUACUGGCCCACACUGCCUGGCGCAACCCAGGAAGCAAUUUCAGAAGAAGGGGAGAGGCCUGCUAGGAGAACAGUCUUCUGCCACUACAAAAGCAGAAUAUCUAUUCCAUCUACCCAGGCCUGCUUUCUUAAUAACAGAGAGAAGCCACUAGAAUAUGAGGAGAACUAGCAGUAUAAAAAGAAAAGUAUAAAAUUCUAAAAAACCAACAAACAAAAAACAAUCUUGGAGGAAGUUGAAAUGAUUCAGGGAACAAAAAAAUCAUCCUUAGAAAUAUUUGCAAAAAGGUUCAAGAAAAUACUACCUCUAUAAAACAAAUAGGAGAAUGAGAGAAUGAGAAAGCACUCUUAGAGAUUUAAAAUAUAAUUGCCAAAAUAAAAAAAUUAGUAGAAAUACUAAAAAACAACAAAAUCAAAGGAAUCUCUCCAAACAUUAAUCAAAGAGCAAAAGAUGGAAAAUAUGAGAAUGAACUCAGAGGACCUAUAUUCAACUAAUAAAAACCUCAGAAAGAGAGAAAGAGGCAAAGUGUUUAAAUUAUUCAACCAGAUAGUAAAAAGAUACGUGCCAGAGCUAAAGAAGGAUAAGACUCUUUGGUUUACAAUGGCUCACCUAGUGUCCAACCCAAUGAAUGGAAACAGACCCCCCACCUGGACACAUUGUAUGGGAAGUAUCAGAACAACAUAAUUAAAAAGAAAACCUUACAAGCCUCUAGGAAGAAAAAAAGCCACAAUUCACAAAGGAGAGAGACUCAGACUGAUACAUUUAAAGUUCUGAGGUAAAACUUUUUACCCAGAAUUUUCUGUAUUUGAAAUAUAUAUAUUUGAAACUGCAUUUCAAAAAUACAAGGACUUAGUACAUUUAUCACCUAUGUGUCAUCUCUCAUGAAGCUACUUGAGUGUCCUCAGCAUAGAAGAUCAGUAACCAAGGAAGGCAGGAACAGUAGUUCUGACCCAGGAAAGGGAUAAAGGGAUGUUCCAGGUUGCCACAGGCCUCAGAGCCACCGGUCCUGAGAAGAAUGAGACAGUACACCCCAGGGGGAGACUUCAGGGACAGUCUGUGCCUUACGGAAUAACUAAUAUGGCUUAGAAUGUGGAAAAAAUAAAGGGCAAAUAGCAAAAGGGAUGGGAGUAGGAAGUAAUAAAAAUUCCAGAGGAAAGGUUAUACUACACACUCUUGAUCAAAAUGUGACAAAAACUAAUGCCUUGAUUUUAAGGAAUCCAUAGACCUUCAUUCUAGAAACAAAAUUCUUUGGGUGGCUUAGAUUUCUGUACAAGGGCCCAUGGAAAAAGCACUGGAAGCCUAGUGCAUCAAUUGGCAUGGUGUGUAUCUGUUUUUGUAUUAAAGAAUUAACACUGGCAAAUCAGUUGGUUGGAUUUCUAUUAAGAGACAACCUAAUGACAUAACAUGAAAGGUUUGUUUGUAUCUGCUGUUCUCAGCAGAGAACAGAAAUAUUGGCUACUUGGACUACAUGUCAAAGCAAAACUAACAAAAGAUGGCACAACAACUUUCUGGGGGGAAAUACGGAAAAAAAAUGGAAGACUUUCUCAAGUUUUAAGGGGUGGUCAAGACCAAGAAACACGGUCAAAAUUGGAAAAAAAUGAGAAUUUAGUUUUAUAACCUAAAAGGAACCAAUAGUAAAACUAAAAGUAAUAUAAUAAAUAUUCAGGUGGAAGGAGAUAAUGAAAAUGAGCAAAUCCCUGUCUUCAUCUUGAGGAGUCACUACAUAUUGUCUAAAGUAGUUAGAUAGAAGAGUACAUGUAUUAAUCUAGAUCCUUCAUACACAAAAAUGAGGUAUUAAUGUCACCUGUUGGAAAAACCCCAUCUCAGCCCUCCCCCUCCCCCCACCCUGCCAACUGCAGAACUCCUGAAAUGGGAUCUGCAUUUUAACAAGAUCCAUCAGUGUUUCAUCUGCACGUUAAAUUUGAAUAGCACUCCUUUAAAACAGUACUUCUUAAUUUUGGCCAUGCAUUAUUAGAAUUGCCUGCAAAACUUUUAAAAAUACAUCAUUUAGAAAGGGGCAAAGCCCAGGACCCCACUUAAAGAGAUGAUGCUUUAAAAGGGAUAGUGUACAGAAAUCAGUAUUUCUUCUUAACAGCUUCUGAGAUAGUUCCAAUGUGUAGUCAUGGUUGAGAACCAGUGAUCUAGAAGAACUAUGGUAAGUGACAAAGAGAAUGAAGACAAAAAUAUUUUAAUUUUGUUUCUGGAUCUGUCAGGGCAUUGGGCUGAGGAUGAGGAAGCAUGGAAAAGACUUGUUUUAAAUGAAUAAACAAACAAACAAAAAGCAGAAUCAGACCUAUAAAUACAGAGAACAAACUGAUGGCUGCCAGAGGGAAGGAACGUGAGGGGUUGGGCAAAAUGGGUGAAGGGGAGAGGGAGACACAGGCUUCCAGUUUUGAGAUGGGUAAGUCGAGGAGUACAAGCACAGCAUGUACAUUGUACAUACAGUCAAUGAUAUUGUAAUAGUGAUGUAAUGGGACAGAUGGUAGCUACACAUAUUGUGAGCAGAGCAUAAUAUAUAAACUUCUCUGAAUCACUACGUUGUACACUGGAAACUAACAACACUGUGUGUCAACUAUACUCAAAAAGAAAAGAAAAAACAUUUUUUAAUAAGAAAUGUUACAAUAUUUGAUCUGUAUCUUGCACAUGUGUUACUUGAAAUAUAGGUUUCUUUUUAAGCAUACAGCCUUCCGCUCAGAAAUUCUACUUAUAGGAAUGUUUUUAAGAAAAUAAUUGAUAUAUUACACAAAUAUUUAUGUUCAUAAUUUUAAGAAUUGUAAACAAUGUAAGUGUUCACUUAAAAAAGUGAUACCUGCACAACCAUGUUUUUCACAACAUUAUUCACAAUAGCCAAGACAGAAAAGCAACCCAAAUGUCCAUUGGUGAAUGAACAGAUAAACAUAAUGUGAUGUAUGCAGACAAUUAUAUUUUUUUCAGCCUUAAAAGGGAAAGAAACUGUCCCAUGCUAUGACAUGGAUGAAUCUUGGAGAUAUCAUGCUAAGUAAAAUGAGCCAUUCACAAAGAGACAAAGAUUGCACGAUUCACUUGUAUAAGGUAUCUAAAAUAUUUAAACUCAUAGAGCAGAAUGGCAGUUACCAGGGGCUGAGGGAGAGCUGUUGUUUAAUGAAUUUAGAGUUUCAGUUCUAUAAAGUGAAAAAGUGCUAGAGAUUGGUUUGAGAACAAUGUGAAUAAAGUCAACACUGCUGAACUGUAUACUUAAGAUGGUAAAUUUUAUGUGUUUUUUACCCCAAUAAUUUUUAAAAAGUAUGUAUUUUGGUAAACAACUCUGUGUAUGUUUGAAUGUAUAGUAAAAAUUGUAGAUUAUGCAACAAAGUGGUUGUAUGGCUUGCAAAGCUACAAUUGAGACUGCUUCUCUUCACUUUCUAGAUUCUUUGCUAUUUUAAGAGUAAGCACAAAGUAUUGUUAUAAUUAAGGGGAAAAAGAAGAAGCUGUUUCCACUUUGAACAAUAUAAAACCAAACUUUCGUUGGAGUUUACAAUGACUGAAUGACUCAUAUACUGCGCUCCCUUAUUUGCCAAAGAAGCAAUUACAUUCUCCUGAGGAAUUCAAGGCUUCACAUCCCUUUUGGAAAUGGUUGUGUAGUGUCUGGAUCUUCUGGGACUUCUGAAUAUUCUCUCUAGUCUUGGGGAAAAGAAGCAAAAACUAAGUAGCCCUUUUACACAUGAAGCAGAAAAACUGGUUAACGUCAUAGAACAGAUUUUGUCUCAUGAAUUCCUUUAGCUUCAAGGAAUAGUAAAGCAGAGGGGACAUUGGGAAAAAGGAGAGGAGGAAGGGGCAUGGAGGAGUUAAUUGCUCUGGACAGAACUGCCCAGCCCAAGUGUAUGUUGACAUUUUAGCUCUGUGUUACCACUGUUUUCUCUUGACCCUCUCUGGGUAUCCUGAGUCACAGUGACAAAAAUGUGGGUCAUUACAUCACAACUGUUUUACGAUUAUUUGUGUUUGCACGUUUGACACUUGUGGUCCAUUGCUAAUGCUAUAUUGUGCUGAGACGGCGUCAUUAACCAUUUUUCUUUUAAUUUCAAAGCCUGGCCUAAUGAAAUAUCUAUAAAAGUGAAAAAAAAGAGUUAAACCAGAAGAUCUUUAAGAUUAUUAAAACCAAAUGUUUAAAAAAGGAGUUUCACUGUUAAUGUCAAAAUAUCUCUGUGGCUCUGUAAAGCUUUUAGAUUCUACCAGAUACUUAAGUCCAUCAAUAAGCUAAUGUACAUUGCGAUCAGCAAAUCCAUGGAUCAUGCUUGUGCGGGAAUUCUUUUGUGUUAUCUAACUCUUCUAAUAAGAAUGGCUCCAUACAUCCAUGUUGAGUGCUUUUUAACCUCACAAAAGUUAGAUAGCAUGGCAAUAAUCCUGGCAAUCAAGGGUCUAAAAAACACAAAAGUUAUUAAAGGUAUCACAGAAUGAACAGACCAGUUCUUCAUUCUGUUCAGCAGAGCACCAAAGAAUUUAACAAAUCUUAUCUUUAAUCUAAUGUUGGAAUUGUGAUCGUGGACUAUUUCUCUUCUUGUUAUUAGGCCUGAGUGGAGAACUUUGGUUUGUCAUCAUUUUUUUUAUGGAAUAAUCCUGAAAUACCACAUUCCUGGUCCCUCUUUUCCUUUCUGUAAUCAGUCAUUCCUCAAUUUAGAAUACAUCUUCUACCCUUUGAAGAGAAUGAAAAUAUUCGGUGAAGAUAAAAUAGUUUAAUAAUUUAGUCAUGUUUUUUACACUAUAAGUGACCCAAGUUUUUACCUACUCACAUAAUCUUUUAUGGCACUGGUUGUUAAUAUUUUACAGUCAGGCAAAAGGACAAUUUACAAAAGUUAAUGAGAGAAAGAGAGGGAAAGAAAGGAGGGAAAGAAGAAGGAAGAAAGAAGAAAUGAAGGCAAACAAUCAUAGAGCUAACUUUUCAGAUAAGUUCAAUAUAGGCAAUGGUUCAGACAAUUCAAUUGAGUGUCUACCCCAAACCCAAUUGGAAUGAAUGUUCAGAUCUAUAAAAUAAAAAUACAAUACAGAUAAAAAUAGCCUCAAGUUGUUUUAUAUAAUCUGUAAGGAUGUUUUUCCUAAACCAUAGAGGUAAUAUGUUGCUACAGUUUUUCAAACUGGUAUUGUAAUUUUUAAAUAAUUCCACGCAAAGGAAAACUAAACCCAUUUUCUCAUUGCCUCCAGUAUAAUUUGGGUAGCAAGCCACACCACAUUUUUGAGUGGAUUUGUGCUGAGUUAGGAAACAUUCUCAAUAUCUGGGUCUUUAAAAAUUAUGCUAAGCUUGCAAGUCCAUAGCAGAUCAAAAAUAAGAACUGUCUUAGGACGUUUGUUGGUUUUUCUAUAGUUUAUAUGUAGCCAGCUGGUUUCUGACCUCUUUGUGUAAAUAUCCAGCUUUUCACAUAAUCAGAUUCCAUAUUACCUUGUUAUGACAUCAUUCUGGUCAGACUUUGAUCCCUUACUAACUUUUCCAAACCAUACACAUAGACUUAAAUAACGAUAAGAAGAUUGCUACUUAUCCACAAAAUACCACUGCUUGGUGGUGGUUAAAAAGACAAAAAAAGUAUACACCUAUAUGCAUACAUGUAAAUACACAUCUUUAUACAUUUUUAUAUGUGUAGAGAUAUAUAUGCAUAAUAAUGAAUAGACCUACAGAAGGGUUAGAAAUACACCAAAAAGAAAAGUAUAUUUUAUAUGAUACUAAAUUAUUGAAUUUUCAAAUUGUGUAUUGCUAGUGACAUACACAUUUAAGUUUCCUCUUUCUGCAGUUGUUACCAGUUGAUACUUUUGUUCAACUUGUAUUUUAAAAGCAGGUGAAUUGAAAUGUAGAAUUUGAGACCUUGUUAUGUAUUAUUUUUUUCCACAGAUAGAUGAAAAUAAAGGUUAAGCUGUAUUCUUUGCUGAUCCGGAAGCCUGGGUAUAAAAGACGCAAUGAUCUUGUAAAUUACCCAGAAAUGGCUUCUUUAGUGUCUGAUCAAGAUAAAUGACACAAGGCAGCUGUAAAAAGAAUUCCCACUAGCCACUGACCCAUAAACAGUGGUGUCAUUUUUCUUUUUUAGAAAAGUAUCAAAAUCAAUUUAAAAUAACACCAAAUCUUUAGAGUUAUAAUUAAGUGUCCUAAAUUAUGCUUCAUAGGAUAUUAUUUUAACUACUAUUAUUUUUUUAAGUUAAAAUACAUUAAAACACUGAUUGCUAGAGAACUUUGAUGUCUGUGAAAUAUGAAUCAUUUUUCUGUGGGCCCACUGUAUUCCCAUUACCUAGAACAGUGCCUGGUACAUAGUAAGUGGUCAGUAAAUAUGGUUGAAUGAAUGAAUUAAAGAAAUAACAAUAUAUUAAGAUAAUAACAAUAAUAUAUUAACUCAUGUGGAAAUUUGGAUAAUAAAAGUGAUGUCACUCACACACAAAAGACAAAGGUACAGAACUAAUAGAUACAUUGGUAAUGAAUAUUUAUUGACCAUUUUUUUAUGUGUUAGGCUUUCUACUAAGUGCUUUGCAUGCAUUUUCUUAUAUAAUGAUCUAAAUAGUCUUAUAGAAAAUAGUGAUUAGGCUAUCUCACAUGAGAAACUAUGGCCCAGAAAACAGUAAUGCCUUCAAGGUUACAGCUAAUAAAUGAUGGUGCCUAAGUUAAAAUUCACAUCAUCCUGGCCCAGAGUAUACAUAUUUUAACAACUGUGUACCUGUCUCUCAAUGUACUGUGUUUUCAUGCUGACUUUAUGGUCCCUAUGAUCAUUGAUAGACUGUAGCUACAAAGAAAAGAAAAACUAUAAAGCUUCUGCACAGCCAAGGAAACAAUCAACAAAACUAAAAGGCAACCAAUGGAAUGAGAAAAGAUAUUUGCAAAUGACAUAUCGGACAAAGGGCUAGUAUCCAAAAUCUAUAAAGAGCUCACCAAACUCCACACCCGAAAAACAAAUAACCCAGUGAAGAAAUGGGCAAAAAACAUGAAUAGACACUUCUCUAAAGAAGACAUCCGGAUGGCCAACAGGCACAUGAAAAGAUGUUCAACGUCGCUCCUUAUCAGGGAAAUACAAAUCAAAACCACACUCAGAUAUCACCUCACGCCAGUCAGAGUGGCCAAAAUGAACAAAUCGGGAGACUAUAGAUGCUGGAGAGGAUGUGGAGAAACGGGAACCCUCUCGCACUGUUGGUGGGAAUGCCAAUUGGUGCAGCCACUCUGGAAAAUAGUGUGGAGGUUCCUCAAGAAAUUAAAAAUAGACCUACCCUAUGACCCAGCAGAAGCGCUGCUAGGAACUUACCCAAGGGAUACAGGAGUACUGAUGCAUAGGGGCACUUGUACUCCAAUGUUUAUAGCAGCACUCUCAACAAUAACUAAAUUAUGGAAAGAGCCUAAAUGUCCAUCAACUGAUGAAUGGAUAAAGAAAUUGUGGUUUAGGGGCGCCUGGGUGGCGCAGUCGGUUAAGCGUCCGACUUCAGCCAGGUCACGAUCUCGCGGUCCGUGAGUUCGAGCCCCGCGUCGGGCUCUGGGCUGAUGGCUCGGAGCCUGGAGCCUGUUUCCGAUUCUGUGUCUCCCUCUCUCUCUCUGCCCCUCCCCCGUUCAUGCUCUGUCUCUCUCUGUCCCAAAAAUAAAUAAAAAAAAAAAAAAAAGAAAUUGUGGUUUAUAUACACAAUGGAGUACUACAUGGCAAUGAGAAAGAACGAAAUAUGGCCCUUUGUAGCAACGUGGAUGGAACUGGAGAGUGUUAUGCUAAGUGAUACAAGCCAUACAGAGAAAGACAGAUACCAUAUGUUUUCACUCUUAUGUGGAUCCUGAGAAACUUAACAGAAACCCAUGGGGGAGAGGAAGGAAAAAAAAAAAAAAAAAAAAAGAGGU